AUGCAGAUGGGGGGUGGAGCUGUGCUUAUCUCUCGCCUUGUCCAGAAGUUUGAACAGCGGAGCAAACGAUUUGAUCGUGUUUUUAUUGUGCUUCUCCCCCUCUCUUCUCUCAGGGAGCUGUAAACCGGGGAUAAUCUGUAAUUCUCCCAGCCUAAUUGUGCUGCCCGGCCACCUGAGCGUCAUCACCUCGCCGGGAAAAUGCCCUCCAUCUUCCCGGCUCUCCAGAGCCGCUCGAGGACGUGGGGCGUGUGCCGGCUGCCUUCCCAGCUGGCUGCCGAGUCCUGAGACCGAGUGUUCCCCGAGCUCAACACUUUUGAUGAAAAGAUGUCAGCCCUGCCCGGCUCCCCGAGGAUGCUCCCUCUACGGGCGAUGCUGAGGCAGCGUUGCUCCCGCUCCACACCACGUCCUACGCCAGAAUCCCGUGGGUCAGCCCCGCACAGUGGGCACUAACACUGCAGGAGAAACCGUGACUUCCAGACUGUGAAACUUUUAGAUUAAAUCCUCUCUUGUA
Pseudopipra pipra is the source of this 511-nucleotide long non-coding RNA. RefSeq lists it as uncharacterized. NCBI's taxonomy places the organism in Eukaryota, Metazoa, Chordata, Aves, Passeriformes, Pipridae. The record is from RefSeq and is a predicted model, not a curated record. The transcript is spliced from 2 exons.